RNAcentral lists this long non-coding RNA (1658 nucleotides) under Chrysemys picta bellii (western painted turtle). RNAcentral's name for it is "lncRNA (ENSCPBG00000001516.1)". Lineage: Eukaryota; Metazoa; Chordata; Testudines; Emydidae. The record is from RNAcentral.
GCCUGUUGCUCAUGUGUGGUUGGAGAAGGGUGUAACAACUCUGUCUGAUCAGGGUGAUACCCUAGCCAGGGCACAAGGAGAGCAGAAAGGUAAUUUGGUUGUGAUACCUACGGACAGUUUAACAACUUGUAGCAAAAAGGAAAGAAUUCCUAAGCUUGUGUGUGGCAAAGAGAAGGGAAAUAUUUCUAACCUUUUAUCUAGGAAGUCUAUGGGUUCGCCUGAAAGGGGAUUGUGUAGAGAUCUGCCUGAUGGGCCAAAGGUGAUCCUGAAUGUAAGUAAGACCCAGACAGAGUCUGUUGUUGCUCAGGAAAGUGUUCCUUUAGAGCAAGCCCUAGGUGAAGAGGGUAAGGGCAGAAUUUCUGUGAGGGGUGAAUUGCUGCUUAGAAAAGCUCCUGGAGAAAGGAAUCCUCAUGGUAAUCUGGGCAAGCAGUUCCCUGCAACUGAAGGGUAUGAGAGUGAUUUAAUCAAGGAAGUUUCAGUUCCUAGCAGCAAAAAAUUGUCUGUUGUGAAUGGAUCCACUGACUUUCCUUUUAAAAGAUCCAGUGUGGGUAGCUUUGAGAAGGUCUCAGAGGAAGUAAAAGUUGUUAAGGAAUUGAGGCAGCCCUAUAACCAAGUGGCUGGGUGGGGCCAACUUGUUGGGGAGACAAUGGUGUUGAAACAGGAAUGUCUCCUUUCUGAUUCUUUAAAUGAGCAGUUUGUGCUUCAGGGUUUGAGGACAAAUUUGAUUACUGAUGUGUCAGAGCAGAGCAGUUUUAUGGCUAAAUGCUUGAGCAUGCGGGGGAGAGGAAGCAAACUCUCACCCGCAGACUCUUUGGAUUUGUGUGGUAUCGCUUUAAGACAGAGUCCAGCCUUGGGAAUGAUAGCAGUUACGAAUAUGAAAACUGGUGGACUGGCUCUGGUCUGGGGUAGUGCAAAUUACUUGCCUGGCUGGGAGGGGAAGGACUUGCUAAUAGCUGUUAGCACAGAGGGCCCACCCCAUCAGCCAGUGAAUUCUGUUAAGCAAGAGAAAUCAGGGUUUGAUCCUGCAGGACAAGGAGGAAAGAGAAAACUGAAUUUUGCAAAGGGAAGCCACAGGUUAACCCUAAAAUGCCCAAACUCCAAUGGUAUUGAGCCAAAGGUGUGGCAUGACAAAAACGAUUUUAGAUGGACACUUGCAAUGAACUUGUUGUUAUUGCUAAAUUUUGUAAUGAAUGUGUUGAUAUUGCCACAAACUGUAAAAAUGUACAAUGUGCCUGAUCUUUUGGAGAAUCCCUUGAACAUGUUAAAAGGAAUACAUAAGAACACACUUUAUGUUAAAAGGCCUUGCUAUAUUGAUGUUUCACAGUUGAUGCCUGUAAACAAUAUGGGAACUUUUCACAGGGGAAAAGAUAUUCCAGACCUAAUGUGCUGUAUGAAAAGGAAGACUGAGGCACACUACCAUAUUGCUUUCAUGGCUAAAGGCCAAGAUUCCUGUACUAUGCAGAACAUUAAUAUCUGCAUUUAUUUGAUGUUAAUUGGGUUCCAAACAUUUGCCCGAGCUUGUGUGGAUAAAGUAGCGGUUCUCUUUAGCUCUUGGAAAGAUCACAUGAGACAUACAGGGACGAUGCUGCCAGAGCAGAUCCAAUCCACUAUUGUUCUAACUAAGUUUUACUUUGGGUUUGUAAAGAGGUUCAAUCAUG